RNAcentral lists this unclassified non-coding RNA (164 nucleotides) under uncultured Ascomycota. RNAcentral's name for it is "sequence contains ITS2". The record is from RNAcentral. Lineage: Eukaryota; Fungi; Ascomycota.
CGACCCUCAAGCCUAGCUUGGUGUUGGGUGAGGUCCCCUUUUAUUGGGACCCCUCCAUAACCCGUAGGCGGUCAUUGUCCGUACUCCCCCUAGCGUAGCAGGCUCACGCACUCGCUCGGGGAUGGGGCAAGACCAUGCCUUUACAAAAUAAACCCUUUUAAAAG